GAGGAGCUUGCUCCUCGGGUGACGAGUGGCGGAUGGAUGUGUAAUGUCUGGGAAACUGCCCGAUGGAGGGGGAUAACUACUGGAAACGGUAGCUAAUACCGCAUAACGUCUUCGGACCAAAGUGGGGGACCUUCGGGCCUCACGCCAUCGGAUGUGCCCAGAUGGGAUUAGCUAGUAGGUGGGGUAACGGCUCACCUAGGCGACGAUCCCUAGCUGGUCUGAGAGGAUGACCAGCCACACUGGAACUGAGACACGGUCCAGACUCCUACGGGAGGCAGCAGUGGGGAAUAUUGCACAAUGGGCGCAAGCCUGAUGCAGCCAUGCCGCGUGUAUGAAGAAGGCCUUCGGGUUGUAAAGUACUUUCAGCGGGGAGGAAGGGAUGAGGCCUAAUACUCUUCGUCAUUGACGUUACCCGCAAAAGAAGCACCGGCUAACUCCGUGCCAGCAGCCGCGGUAAUACGGAGGGUGCAAGCGUUAAUCGGAAUUACUGGGCGUAAAGCGCACGCAGGCGGUCUGUCAUGUCGGAUGUGAAAUCCCCGGGCUUAACCUGGGAACUGCAUUCGAAACUGGCAGGCUAGAGUCUUGUAGAGGGGGGUAGAAUUCCAGGUGU
Molecule: ribosomal RNA, 610 nt
Filed under: Erwinia persicina
Lineage: Bacteria; Pseudomonadati; Pseudomonadota; Gammaproteobacteria; Enterobacterales; Erwiniaceae
Description: bacterial SSU rRNA
Rfam family: Bacterial small subunit ribosomal RNA
Source: RNAcentral